UGUAAUGUAUACUAACAUUAUUUUUUGCUUUUGUUAUUGUCUAGCUAUUGUUGUGGAUGUCUGGUAUAAUGUAAACACUGGAGGGAAAGUAAUUCUUCUGAUAUGUCUGCUACUGGGGCCACUUCUGACUCUUCUGUAUAUUCUGCAUGUUAUCACUAUUGAAUAUCUGUCUUUGGCAGUAAUUCAGUUGUUGGCAUGGAUUUGUUUUCCCUGUCAUUUUAUUUGCAAACGUGUGCUUUCUUUACUCUGUAUAUCAUUGAUGAUCCUGGAAGUUCUAAGUGCAUCAGGGUCGAUCUACGUCCAUUAUGCCGUUGUGGAUAAUGUGAAAGAGCGUGAUGCGCUGACCUGUGUGACUGCAUUCCUCCACAUCUUGACCACGAUGAUACUGUUUACAAGUAUAAAGUAUUUCUCAGGUAUUCAUUACUUUUCUGAUCCUUUUCAAAUACGUUUUUUUUAGUUUAAUAGCAUGAUUAAAAAUGAAUCAAUUCAAAUAAAUUCAAAGGAAGUGGUUCAAACUUAAUUAAAAACUAAAUAUAAAUUUUACAAGAAAAGAAAAUGAGCUUUUAUCACCUUUAAAUUGUAACCGUAAACACAUUCAUACACAGCAUUGUUGGUAUCAAACACAACACAGGUUUAUAAAAAAUUUGUUAAAUAUAGGUGUCCAACAUUUAUUGGCAUCCCUAUGAAUUUAUAUGAGAAAAAUAUAUUUGAAAAAAGAAAAGUAUAUUCCAAAUGUUGUUUAAAAGUUUUUUAGUACACCUGGGUGACUAGGAACAGUUCUGAACAAAUUGUUUAGCCAUGACUUCCUGUUUCACAGGGGUAUAUAUAUGAGGUAACACAUAGGCCAAAUUCCCUUAGUCAUUCAUAACAAUGGAUAAGACCAAGGAAUAUAGCUGUGAUGUGUGGCAAAAUGUUGUUGAGCUUCACACAUUGGGAAGUGUCUGUAAGAAAAUAGCACAAGCAUUGAAAACGCCCAUUUCACCAUCAGGGUAAUAAUUAAGAAGUUCCAGUCAACUGGGCAUGUUAUGAAUCAACCUGGAAUUGGACGUGCGUCUAUAUUGUCUCAACACACUGUGAAGAGGAUGUUGUGAUACCUUGUUGGAGGCAAGCGCAGAUGAACAGGACUAGAGUGCAAGGAUCAGGCGGAAGGCGAAACAUGGAAGACAGCAGUAGGUCAGGCGAUCGGGUGAACAAUUCAG
Ictalurus furcatus (blue catfish) is the source of this 1199-nucleotide long non-coding RNA. RefSeq lists it as uncharacterized. The record is from RefSeq and is a predicted model, not a curated record. The transcript has 4 exons. NCBI's taxonomy places the organism in Eukaryota, Metazoa, Chordata, Actinopteri, Siluriformes, Ictaluridae.